Tetraodon nigroviridis (spotted green pufferfish) is the source of this 76-nucleotide non-coding RNA. The record is from Rfam. Lineage: Eukaryota; Metazoa; Chordata; Actinopteri; Tetraodontiformes; Tetraodontidae.
UCACAAAGCAUUGCACCCAGAAUCUGGUUUACCAGACAUUGUACCUGGAGCUUUUUCUUUUACAUUAAAACCUUAU